CAACUUUCAACAACGGAUCUCUUGGCUCUCGCAUCGAUGAAGAACGCAGCGAAAUGCGAUAAGUAAUGUGAAUUGCAGAUUUUCAGUGAAUCAUCGAAUCUUUGAACGCACAUUGCGCCUCCUGGUAUUCCGGGAGGCAUGCCUGUUCGAGCGUCAUUA
Molecule: ribosomal RNA, 159 nt
Filed under: uncultured fungus
Lineage: Eukaryota; Fungi
Description: 5.8S ribosomal RNA
Rfam family: 5.8S ribosomal RNA
About the family: 5.8S ribosomal RNA (5.8S rRNA) is a component of the large subunit of the eukaryotic ribosome. It is transcribed by RNA polymerase I as part of the 45S precursor that also contains 18S and 28S rRNA. Functionally, it is thought that 5.8S rRNA may be involved in ribosome translocation.
Source: RNAcentral